GUGUGUGUCCGGACAGAAAGAGGCGGGAAUUCCCGCAGGUUGUGUUUGUCGCCUCCUGGCGGUCACACACACACACACACACACACACACACGCACACACACUCCUGUUGCUGCUUCGACCUUUCACUCCGCAUGAACGCACCGAGCGGAGAUGUGCGUCCCGGAGGCUCGACGGACUGAGGCGGCUCGGUGUCAGCUCUGAGCACGGAGGACCGAACAGCACCGGACCGGACCGAACCGAGCCGGACCCGCAGGAGAAGCAGCUGCUGCCUGCGGGAUUUUACACAAGUUGUCGGAGAAGUCGCUGCUGGAGGAGGAAGAGGAGGAAGCUGUCUGCAGACACAGUGUGAAGAAGAAGAAGAGCCGUGAGAGAGCAGCAACAGAUGGUUCUGGUUCUGGUUCUGGUUCUGGUGGACAUGAGGCCGGCUCAGGAAUGAGAGCUGCAGCGAGGCGCAGGCGGCUCCUCCGGCGGCUCUGCUGCUGCGGGCUCGGGCUGCUCGCGGCCGUGUGGCUCGUUCAGGUGCAGACACCAGAGACGGUCUCUUCCGGGCUUCGGUCGACCGUGAACGACGGGACGCUGCGAUGGACUCGCCGACUGAUGCAGGAGAAGUCAGACAACCAGAGCCUGGAUCAGCCCCGAGCAGCCAUCCACGAGUUUCCUGAGGACGUCUUCACGAAGGAGCAGAGGAAGAAGGGCGCCGUGUUUCUUCACGCUCUCUGUGCCAUCUACAUGUUCUACGCCCUCGCCAUCGUCUGCGACGAUUACUUCGUCCCUUCUCUGGAGAAGAUCUCUGAGAACCUGCAGCUCAGUGAAGACGUGGCCGGGGCGACUUUUAUGGCGGCAGGAAGCUCCGCCCCCGAGCUGUUCACCUCUCUCAUUGGCGUCUUCAUCACCAAAGGAGACGUCGGCGUGGGGACAAUCGUCGGCUCGGCGGUCUUCAACAUCCUCGUCAUCAUCGGCCUGAGCGGGAUCUUUUCCGGACAGACCAUCGUUCUGACGUGGUGGUCGCUGUUCAGAGACUCUUCGUACUACAUCCUCUCCGUGCUGACGCUCAUCAUGGUGAUCUACGAUGCCACGGUCGUGUGGUGGGAGUCUCUGCUGCUCAUGACCAUGUAUGGAGUCUACAUCAUUAUCAUGAAGUUCAACUCUCAGAUUCUGGCGUUCGUGACGCGGCAGCUUCGGAGCGCGAGGCCGUGCUGCCCCGGAUCAGACGAUCACACGGACGACAAGAUGGGCGAGGACGCCUCGGCGUGCAACACCUCCAUGGUUCUGCUCAACAAAGGUCGGGCCUGUGGGCAGGAGCCUGCUCCGGUUAUCAUGGUGGACGAGCUUCUCAUCCUGAACCCGCACAAACUGUCGUUCUCCGAGGCCGGCCUGCGGGUCAUGAUCACCCCUCACUUCUCGCCGCGCACCAGGCUGUCCAUGGCGGGACGCGUGCUCAUCAGCGAGAGACAGAGGCUGAUCCAGAGCUCGAAGAACCAAUGGGACGGCGAGGCUGGACCCGGGUCAAGACGCGGGUCAACCAGCAACAGCCUAAAGAGGACGGAGUCCUGCAGUGUGGAGAACGGAGGCAAGGGACCCGCGAUGGGAGACGUAGAGUCCGGAGACAAGCUGGGGGUCGAGGUGUGCCAGCCGGAGGAGGACGAGGACGGGAUCUUCAGUCCUGUGCGCAUACCAGGAGGCUGCUGUGCGCGGGUCAAGUGGGUGAUCACGUGGCCUCUGGGCCUCCUGCUCUACUGCACUGUGCCCAACUGUAUCCUGCCACGCUGGCACCGCUGGUUCAUGGUCACCUUUGUGGCCUCCACCCUGUGGAUCGCUGUCUUCUCCUACCUCAUGGUGUGGAUGGUCACCAUCAUCAGCCACACACUAGACAUCCCGGACUACAUCAUGGGCAUCACGUUCCUGGCGGCGGGGACGAGCGUGCCGGACUGCAUGGCGAGUCUGAUUGUAGCUCGACAAGGCAUGGGGGACAUGGCGGUGUCUAACUCCAUAGGAAGCAAUAUCUUUGACAUCCUGCUGGGUUUGGGUUUCCCCUGGGCUUUGCGUACCCUUGUGGUGGACCACGGAUCAUCAAUCUCCAUAAAUAAUAAAGGACUGGUGUAUUCUGUCAUCCUGCUGCUGGCCUCUGUCUUUCUGACGGUGAUGAGCGUUCAUCUGAACCACUGGAGGCUGGAUCGCCGGCUCGGUCUGGGUCUGCUGUUCCUCUACGCCAUCUUCCUGCUCUGCUCCAUCCUGUUCGGGCAGAUGUGACGAGGCCCUAAAGGUCGAAGGUCAACCCGUCAGACCGCAUGCUGAGCACUCACCUGUCACCAAAAAAAAGAAAAAGCGUGCUCGUCGUCGUUGUUCUUUUUUGUCAGACUGUGAUAAUCAGUCUGAACAGCACCAAACCAAACGGGUCCGGUCCGGUGUCGUCGUCGGUUUCACAGCACUCUGAAUGUUCUGUUUGUUCUGCUGUGACAUGUUGGACAUGUAUUGGUUAGAGCUGUAUGAGGUCAUAGGACUGUUGUUGUUUGGUCCAAUAAAAACAAACUGUGCAACAA
Larimichthys crocea (large yellow croaker) is the source of this 2541-nucleotide RNA transcript. It is a transcript of the gene named sodium/potassium/calcium exchanger 3, with no coding region annotated. The record is from RefSeq and is a predicted model, not a curated record. Lineage: Eukaryota; Metazoa; Chordata; Actinopteri; Sciaenidae. The transcript has 18 exons.